GAUGAACGCUGGCGGCGUGCCUAAUACAUGCAAGUCGAGCGAACAGACGAGGAGCUUGCUCCUCUGACGUUAGCGGCGGACGGGUGAGUAACACGUGGAUAACCUACAUAUAAGACUGGGAUAACUUCGGGAAACCGGAGCUAAUACCGGAUAAUAUAUUGAACCGCAUGGUUCAAUAGUGAAAGACGGUUUUGCUGUCACUUAUAGAUGGAUCCGCGCCGCAUUAGCUAGUUGGUAAGGUAACGGCUUACCACGGCAACGAUGCGUAGCCGACCUGAGAGGGGGAUCGGCGACACUGGGACUGAGACACGGGCCAGACUCCGACUGAGGGAAGCAGUAGGCAACCUUCCGCAAUGGGAGAAAGCAUGACGGAGCAACGCCGCGUGAGUUAUGAAGGUCUUCGGAUCGUAAAACUCUGUUAUUAGGGAAGAACAAAUGUGUAAGUAGCUAUGCACGUCUUGACGGUACCUAAUCAGAAAGCCACGGCUAACUACGUG
Molecule: ribosomal RNA, 497 nt
Filed under: uncultured bacterium
Lineage: Bacteria
Description: partial 16S ribosomal RNA
Rfam family: Bacterial small subunit ribosomal RNA
Source: RNAcentral